RNAcentral lists this ribosomal RNA (245 nucleotides) under uncultured Bacteroidales bacterium. RNAcentral describes it as "partial 16S ribosomal RNA". It matches the Rfam family "Bacterial small subunit ribosomal RNA", at positions 524 to 768 of the family's 1533-position model. Lineage: Bacteria; Pseudomonadati; Bacteroidota; Bacteroidia; Bacteroidales. The record is from RNAcentral.
UACGGAGGAUGCGAGCGUUAUCCGGAUUUAUUGGGUUUAAAGGGUGCGUAGGCGGAUUUAUAAGUCAGUGGUGAAAGACUGUCGCUCAACGAUAGCAUUGCCGUUGAUACUGUAGAUCUUGAGUACACUUGAGGUAGGCGGAAUGUGUAGUGUAGCGGUGAAAUGCUUAGAUAUUACACAGAACACCAAUUGCGAAGGCAGCUUACUAAAUUGUAGCUGACGCUGAGGCACGAAAGCGUGGGGAU